This 488-nucleotide ribosomal RNA is filed under the name uncultured bacterium. Its description in RNAcentral is "partial 16S ribosomal RNA". It matches the Rfam family "Bacterial small subunit ribosomal RNA", at positions 30 to 507 of the family's 1533-position model. The record is from RNAcentral.
AUUGAACGCUGGCGGCAGGCCUAACACAUGCAAGUCGAACGGUAACAGGAAGCAGCUUGCUGCUUCGCUGACGAGUGGCGGACGGGUGAGUAAUGUCUGGGAAACUGCCUGAUGGAGGGGGAUAACUACUGGAAACGGUAGCUAAUACCGCAUAACGUCGCAAGACCAAAGAGGGGGACCUUAGGGCCUCUUGCCAUCGGAUGUGCCCAGAUGGGAUUAGCUAGUAGGUGGGGUAACGGCUCACCUAGGCGACGAUCCCUAGCUGGUCUGAGAGGAUGACCAGCCACACUGGAACUGAGACACGGUCCAGACUCCUACGGGAGGCAGCAGUGGGGAAUAUUGCACAAUGGGCGCAAGCCUGAUGCAGCCAUGCCGCGUGUAUGAAGAAGGCCCGGGUUGUAAAGUACUUUCAGCGGGGAGGAAGGGAGUAAAGUUAAUACCUUUGCUCAUUGACGUUACCCGCAGAAGAAGCACCGGCUAACUCCGUG